Molecule: long non-coding RNA, 1602 nt
Organism: Chenopodium quinoa (quinoa)
Lineage: Eukaryota; Viridiplantae; Streptophyta; Magnoliopsida; Caryophyllales; Amaranthaceae
Exons: 3
Source: RefSeq, a predicted model, not a curated record
ACUAGUAAGACAUUCCUUACAAAUAUAGGAAAGACAAAGAAUAAAAAAAACCAAAAUAGAAAGUUGAUUUUCUGUUAAACCAAACAAUGAAAAAAGCCUAAAAAGGAAAUUCAUUUAACAUACAACUAAACAAUGGUAAAUUAGUAGGAAAUUACAUUUUCUCAUGGAAAAUGUUAUUCAUCGAAAAUCAUUUUCCAUUGAAAACAUUUUACACCCAACCAAACAGGGCCUUAAUUAGUGUGGCCAGUUUUCUGACUUAGGGGUCAUAAAUUUAAAUAAAAUUAGAAAAAACCAAAACCCACACACCUGCCACUACUAGUAGACGACAACUCGGCCACCCCCUUCCCUGACCAAGCCUUUUAGAAGCAGAAUGAACAACGUGCGCCCAACCUACUUCAACAUUAACCUUGUUAAUAAUCACCUUCCAUAUUCAAUCAACUUCAAUUAUGAUUUCAAUCACCUAAACUAAACCUAGAAAAAUUGAAUUUGAUUACCAAGAAAACCCUAAAAAACAGAAAUAUAAAUUAAAAAAAAAAAAUUGAAGAAUGCAACCUUGGAAUGAGCAGCGGAAGCGGCAACGUGGAGGAGCGAGCGACGUGAUUUCUGUGUCAAUUGAAACAUCGGUCCUGGAUUUGGGUUCUAAUGCAGUUCGUCAUGGUAUCCUAGAAGUAUGCUGACUCCUCAACAGACUCAGGUAAUUGGGAGGUAUGAGGUAUAGCCUGAGACGUAUCACGAUGAUUUUCCGGGUUGGAAGAGACUCAAAGUGCAAAGUGGAAGCUCAUACAUAGCUCACAAGGCAAGGAAUGGCUAGCUUUAAGAAUUGGUGAUUGCGCUCUCAUGCUGCACUCGCACAAGAUUUUGGUGUUGAACCCACCGUGAACUCCAUUUCGGGAUUGCCAUGCCUAGUGACGAUCAAGAGGAGCGCACCAUCUACAUCAAGAGCGCACCAUGGAAGGUGUCCUACUCCAGUGGCGCGGGCGCGCACCACUUAUGCGAGAGCGCGCAAGCCAGUAGCGUGGGUGCGCAUCCUUCCUUUGCGGGCGCGCCACCUGGGGUCUCUGUUCCGUACCCAGAUCUUCGCGGGCGUGCAAGCUCGAGAGAUGGUGCACCCGGCUGGGUCUAUUUUGGACGUCUACCUUAUUUCCUUCUAGUUAUUUAUACUAUAAAUAGCUUUUUCCUUUUAUUUCUAGGGGAGACUUGAAUUUUCAUAAUUUUGUACUGAAUUUUAGAGAGAGAAACUUGAGAGAUAAUUUGUUGAUUACAAUUUUUAUCUUCAUUUACAUUGAAUUCAAGCACAAUUUCCUUUGUUCAAUCAAGUUUGUAAGAUUCUUCUACUUCUUAGUUCAAUUUCUAUGCAUUUGAUUUUGUUGAUUGUUGCAAUUUCAAGUUCCUUUGUUUGUUUGAAUUUGAUUAAAUUGUAUUGCAAUUAUGAUGACGUUGAUGAUGAUUAUAAGUUAGUUUUCUUCCUUCAAUUCAUUAUGCUUAGUGAGUAGAUUCUUUGCUAGGGUGAUGGUGAAGCAUGCAUGAAUGAUGGAUGAUUGCUACUUAUGGGAUUUUGAUUGAUUGAAAUGUUGUUAUUAAAUUGUUUGACACAAUUGUGCA